This 429-nucleotide ribosomal RNA is filed under the name Gemmatimonadota bacterium. Its description in RNAcentral is "Gemmatimonadetes bacterium partial 16S ribosomal RNA". It matches the Rfam family "Bacterial small subunit ribosomal RNA", at positions 355 to 776 of the family's 1533-position model. Lineage: Bacteria; Pseudomonadati; Gemmatimonadota. The record is from RNAcentral.
UAGGGAAUCUUCGGCAAUGGACGAAAGUCUGACCGAGCAACGCCGCGCGAGUGAAGAAGGUUUUCGGAUCGUAAAACUCUGUUGUUAGAGAAGAACAAGGACGUUAGUAACUGAACGUCCCCUGACGGUAUCUAACCAGAAAGCCACGGCUAACUACGUGCCAGCAGCCGCGGUAAUACGUAGGUGGCAAGCGUUGUCCGGAUUUAUUGGGCGUAAAGCGAGCGCAGGCGGUUUCUUAAGUCUGAUGUGAAAGCCCCCGGCUCAAACGGGGAGGGGCAUUGGAAACUGGGAGACUUGAGUGCAGAAGAGGAGAGUGGAAUUCCAUGUGUAGCGGUGAAAUGCGUAGAUAUAUGGAGGAACACCAGUGGCGAAGGCGGCUCUCUGGUCUGUAACUGACGCUGAGGCUCGAAAGCGUGGGGAGCAAACAGG